UACGAAGGGGGCUAGCGUUGCUCGGAAUCACUGGGCGUAAAGGGCGCGUAGGCGGCCGUUCAAGUCGGGGGUGAAAGCCUGGUGGCUCAACCACAGAAUGGCCCUCGAUACUGGAUGGCUCGAGACCGGAAGAGGUUGGUGGAACUGCGAGUGUAGAGGUGAAAUUCGUAGAUAUUCGCAAGAACACCAGUGGCGAAGGCGGCCAACUGGUCCGGUUCUGGACGCUGAGGCGCGAAAGCGUGGGGAGCAAACAGG
RNAcentral lists this ribosomal RNA (255 nucleotides) under uncultured bacterium. RNAcentral describes it as "partial 16S ribosomal RNA". It matches the Rfam family "Bacterial small subunit ribosomal RNA", at positions 524 to 776 of the family's 1533-position model. The record is from RNAcentral.